Macaca mulatta (Rhesus monkey) is the source of this 669-nucleotide non-coding RNA. The record is from RefSeq and is a predicted model, not a curated record. Lineage: Eukaryota; Metazoa; Chordata; Mammalia; Primates; Cercopithecidae.
GCUUUUUUUAGUCUAAAAACUGAUAAAAAUAGGUGCUAAAGGAAAUUUCUCAGUAAGAAGGCACCAAGGACUAGAAAGUCCACUGCUCAUGUCCCCACAUUUAAAACAAAAGGUCGAUUUCUUAGAAAUUAUAUACUUGGUUUAUCUUCCACUUUCCUUUCCCUCAAAACUGAAAGUCUUUUAGCGCAGGUACCACCCCUGGAAUUUCCAGUAAACCAGCACCAGCCUGAAGAUCACGUUCUCAUCAAAGGGUGGAAAGAAGGAAAACUUGAGCUAUCCUGGGAAGGACCCUACCUUGUGCUGCUAAUCACUGAAACUGCUGUUCAUACAGUGAAAAGACCAGGAGAACAAGUAGCCAAACCUUGUUUGUCCAGGAACAACUCCACUCACUCCAUGAUAGAAUCCUGGGAGAACUGGCAGAUACCAGCAGAAAACGAUACACACAUAUGUGUGACGGUUAAUAUUGAGCAUCAAUUUGAUUGGACUGAAGGAUGGAAAGUACUGUUCCUGGUGUGUCUGUGAGGAUGUUGCCAAAGAAGAUUAACAUUUGAGUCAGCGGACUCGGAAAGGCAGACCCACUCUCGAUCUGGGUGGGCACCGUCUAGUCAGCUGCCAGCAUGGCUAGGAUAAUGCAGGCAGAAGAACAUGGAAGGACUAGCCUUGCUGAGU